ACUCCUACGGGAGGCAGCAGUGGGGAAUUUUGGACAAUGGGCGCAAGCCUGAUCCAGCAAUGCCGCGUGCAGGAAGAAGGCCUUCGGGUUGUAAACUGCUUUCUGUACGGAACGAAACGGUCUGGAUUAAUACCCUGCGCUAAUGACGUACCGUAAGAAUAAGCACCGGCUAACUACGUGCCAGCAGCCGCGGUAAUACGUAGGGUGCA
This 209-nucleotide ribosomal RNA is filed under the name uncultured Hydrogenophaga sp. Its description in RNAcentral is "partial 16S ribosomal RNA". It matches the Rfam family "Bacterial small subunit ribosomal RNA", at positions 335 to 536 of the family's 1533-position model. Lineage: Bacteria; Pseudomonadati; Pseudomonadota; Betaproteobacteria; Burkholderiales; Comamonadaceae. The record is from RNAcentral.